Molecule: non-coding RNA, 24118 nt
Organism: Paramuricea clavata
Lineage: Eukaryota; Metazoa; Cnidaria; Anthozoa; Malacalcyonacea; Plexauridae
Source: the annotation of a GenBank genome assembly
UAAAUCAUUUUAGAUUAUUUGAUUCCAUUGAGCGAGCUCUUCUGAGCUGCGCAUUGAGACGAUACGGACGAACCUUAUUCUCCUGCACGUGAUCAAUCCAUUGGAGGGAAUACAAUUAAAGAAGGCAAGGUAAGAUUUGUCUACAAGAAACAAUCAGUCGGAUAUGAUUUGUCAUUUCGGCGUAUGGAAAUUACUGCUGGCUCCAUCGAAUUCCUCUCAAUCAGUUUGUGGCGGAAAUUUUUCCAGCGCCAUGUGCAUUCGAUUACAUACGCCAAAAUAAGAAUCAUAUACGACUAAUCGUAUCUUGCCGUCAAGUAUCGACCGAUAUGACGUCAUAGAUAUAGUGUUUCCGAAAAUAAGGAGAUAUACGUUGUCGUAUAGGCGAGUUGUGUCAUGCUUGAUUUACACAGUACAACUCAAGUUGUAAGAAGGUUGCAUGCAUGGGGCAAUGGACCAUUUGUAUUAUAGACUAAAUUUUGAUCUAGACAAGUCUAGACAAAAAUUUCAUCACAGCUUGAAAGAGCAUCACAAAAUUAGUAAUAUUCCAAAGUUUCGUUGCGAAAUAUUGUAAAAUGCGGAUAAUAUAGCCUUGUGAAGUUUGCCGUUUUUCAGUCAUUUUGUAUUACGCAUGGGAAAUUGACAGCCCAAUCGGGUGUUGGGGCAUCAAUUUCCCGUUUGUAAUACAAAAUGACUGAAAAUUGCAAAUUUCGCAAGGCUAUAUUAUCCACAUUUUACAACAUUUCGCAACGAAACUUUGGAAUAUUACUAAUUUUGUGAUGCUCUUUCAAGCUGUGAUGAAAUUGUUGUCUAGACCAAAAUUUAGUCUAUGAUGCAAAUGGUCCAUUUUAGGCAAAUUUUGUGUAGUGUAAUUCGGUCUUUAAAAGGAAAGGAAAUAGUAUAUGUAUCUUAGUUGAAAAUACAUGGAAAUCAACUAUUUUCCAUAACAGACCGAAUUUGCUAUAGCUGGCAAUGAAAGCUACGUAUUUACAAUGGAUUACAUUGUCUGCCUCGAUUUCAAGCUAUUGUUUCGUGUGCGCUCAAGCGAAUUCGGGAAGUGCCCUGCGAACGGGUAUACUCUGCCUGAUGAAAUUAGGGAAUCAUUACGGUCUGCGGAGGAGGAGGUGGGGUCUGUAUUGCCACUAUAUUGCCACUGCAUGUUUCCAUGCUAUAUGAAAAUAGUACCCACUAUGUAUGUAAGUUAUGAACUGGCAUCACAACAAUAUAGUAAUUCUAGGAAUUUCUUAUUUCAAAUAUUCAUGACAAUACUUAAUUACGAGUCCAAUAGUCUCAUCACAUAUUGGUAAAUUAUCAAUAACUCUGACUAAAUCGUUCGUUGGAAUGUUUAAUAACUAUUCAUCAGGAAAUGGUCUUUCUUCUAUUCUUUCAUAAAAUUCCUACCAUUCGUGAAAGUUCACUAAUGCCAAGUACAAAUUGGGUGAAUACAGGGAGUUGGUCGAGCUCUUCUCUUCCGUUCUUUCAUCAGAUUCUCUUCAUUCUUUCGUAUCUCUCUUGUUAAUACAUCAUCAUCCAAAUUUCCACCAUUCUUCUCUUCCUCACGGAGCCAUACCCAUCUUGGUCUCGCCAAACACAGAGUCACGGUAGAUAGCACAAGCAAAACGACCAAGAAAUUCUUAGAAAAUCCCAUGACUUCCGACUCAAGACUUGAUGCGACUUCGCGUGCAGGAGUUCAACUUCUCGAAACUUGAUGAUGUAGGAGUCUUUUUGAUCAACCAAUAUCGUUCACUUUCUAACACAAUGAUGAACUGAACAUUUGACCCGACUUUUAUAGCACAAUAUAGCACACCAGAUGUUCAUAUUUCUGCACCCGUUUGCUAUACCAACGCCAUAAGAUAACGGUUAAAAAGCAGUUGAAACCUGAAAAUAUUUCUCUUACUGAUUAGUUAAUUACUUCUUGAGACAUUCGUUUACUAGAAAUCGUCCUACUUUAGGGACUGGUUUAAGAAGACGCUCAAGUCUUACUUAGAAAGUUCCAUCUGCAAACCCAUAAAUAUAUAGGCUAUAGUUGUCGCUUUGGCCACUUGUGAGAAAACGCUUUGAAUGUUGCUAUAUUAUUUCCAUUUUGGACAAGAUGAGAAGCUCUUUGUAACAUUUGUUUCACUUAACGAUUUUUUAUUGCUGAUAUGAUCGAAAAGGAUAGACGCUUGUUUAUAAAUUUAAUUACUGAUAAUAUUUUGUAUGUAUAGGCUACUCAUGAUAAAAUGAUAAAAGAACGGCUGUAUUUAUAUACAAAACGAUCAAGAUAGAUAUAUUGCCUCCGCACGCAAAUAUACAAAUGGCUGAUCGUUCAAAUAUCAAUGCAAUAAUUCUUUUGACCAUUUUUAAACGGGCUAUAUUCCAUAAAAGCAGUCUCACGCCGGGACCAUGCAGUAAUGAUGAAGCAUCUGAGGGGAGGGGGGGGGGGGGGAGGGGUUCAACUCUAUUUCCCAGCCAAUAUUUUGCCUGAUUCCUUCCAUUCCCAGCAGCAAAAGUGCUGGUCCUUCACAUUGCAGCUGCUAUAUCGUCUCCAUACACCUACAAUGGCGCCGGCUGCUCGAAAUUUAGCUUUUAUAUUUAUACUCUUCGUGGGUCCCCUUUGCGGUAGCGAAAAUUAAAAAGCGCCUUAAUAUACGAUCGAAUUAUGUAUAGAAGUUCACACAAGUGUGGGGGAUAUAUGAAUAAAGACAUAUUUUUAAUUUUAGCUAACUGUUAUACCAAAUUAACUUGAGCGAAUGCAUAAUUCGUUUAUACAUACACAAGAUAACAAUGUGAUCAUGCAUAUACUAAAUGGUUUUCACCAGACUCUAUAGGAUCUCGUUAGUCCACAUUGAUCGCAUGUAUGACCUUAAUCUACCUUUGUGCUAAAUUUGGAAAAAAAAUGAAACGUCUUUGCGUUUAAACUAACAUUGUGUUUUCAUGCAUGGUAUUCCGGCAUUUGUUCGCACUCGUAUACAAACAGCCAUUAUUUAUUAAUUUUAUCUUUAGAACAAUCGUUCGUUAUGUGUGUGUGUUAUCAGUUUGAAUUUCUUCUGAAGGAAACGUCUUUUACGCGCGCUAAUUAUUUUUUAAAAGUUAUCCCUAGAUCUUAAUUUAAUUAAUAGAUUUUAUACUGUUUAUUGCACGCACUUUUGACCGAAUUUCCUUGUUUUCAUAGCGGGUGUAUAUGAAGUUAUAUCUCCAUGUUUCCUGCAUGAAUAUGUUUCUCUUUGAUCUUGAACCCAAUCACAAACCUAUAUAUCCUUAAACCUACUGCGUAUGCUUGAAACACAGAAAUAUAAGCGCAUGAAAUCGAGGCCACGCGUUGGGGCAAGAGUGUAUGCAAAUAGUGCAAAAUGUGCACACCAUUGUCUUGUUUUUUUUUUAUUUAGUAAAUUUGGCAGAGGAUUGUUGAUCUUCUUUCGUUUAAGAGUUUAAGUGCCGUUUUGUACACAGCUUGUGGAGUCGCUGUAAAUAAUCAUGCGUCGCCAUGCGCGCAAAACAUAAUAUUUACAAAGUGCACUUGAAACGCUCUGCAUCAUUUAUUAUACAGAAGCUGAAAAUAAAUUCACCAAUGUUUUAAAUAUUUAUUAUAUUUGCACUAAGAACUUUCUACACCAGCCAUUGUUUCAUGGAAACCUAUACACUCUAAAUUCAAAAGAGUUAAAACGACGCGCCAAAGAGUCGUUCUAUGGGAACAAACUAUUAUUUUGCCGUCGUGAAUUAACACUAUAAUCUAUAUCUUGUUAAGAAUAGAUUUAAGUUACGCAUAAUAUCGCAUGUUCAAACGUGUAAAUAUAUAUAUAUAUAUAUUAUAUAUAUAUAUAUAUAUAUAUAUAUAUAUAUAUAUAUAUAUAUAUAUAUAUAUAUAUAUAUAUAUAUAUAUAUAUAUAUUUGAUUCGUGACAGCAAUUAGAGGCGACAACGUCAAAUGAAAAUAAAAUACAGCAACUGUACAUGUUACCCUUAUCAUUUUAUCAUGAGAAUUUUUAUGCGACGUUUUACAUUACAUUAUUCAGCUCAUUCACAGUUGAGAUAUUACUUUCCUAAAUCCUAACCGUGUUUAUCCCUAACCCACCCUGUCAACUUUCCCUUGAAAACCGGAGAAAACCCACGACUUUCGGCAGAGCGUUGACUGACUCUUUUCACAUGAGUCCGUAGCGAGAAUCAAACCCACGAACUCAGAGGUGAAGACGCUUACUCUGAUGACUGCGUCAGUGCGCCACCGCAGCCGAAAUGACUACAGCCCGCGCAUGCACCUGCAUGUGAAAAGUUUUGCGUGACAGUUCUUUUUUAAUGUUUCGUGUUUCCUCGGUGACAGUGUAUAGGUAGCGACGAUAACGUACAGCUGUGGUGUGAGAGAUAUACUACUAUACCUGAACUAAAAAAUAAGCAGAAUCUCAACGUUUCGAGCUGCUCCUUUCGUAGGGAAUGUAGUAUAUUUUUCAGGUACUGCAUGCGUCCUAUCAUAACGCAGCUGCAUGUGUCUGUUUAUAAAAUUUAGUGAGUUCAAACACAACUCUUCAUGUAAUGAAAACGUCAGGAAAACAUGGAGUCCGAUUAUUGAGGUGCAUAUUGGAACAUAUGAAGCUCAACUAAAUAUAAACACUGUAUAUAUGCAUGAGAAAAUAUAUAUAUAUACUCGUUCCUACAAGCAUUUUCUAAUUAUAACUGUAAAGCUCAAAAUAUAUAUUAGCACUGUCUGAGCAAAUACUCGUUUGUAAGCAUUUUCGUAUUUAGACGAAGUUCCUCACGAUUAUCGGAUUUUGUGUUGGUAUCUUGGAUGCAUGUUUUAUAAACAUAAUGAGAAAAAUAUUGAUUGAAAUGACAAAUGUCAUUACUACAUACUGUACAUUUUUCUGCAGCUCACUCCCCAUUGGCUCUUUUCACUGACCGAUUACAUCGAGUAUUACGCUUACUUAUAUUACCUAUACUUAGCCUAUACACGGCAAAAAACGCCGAGCCCGUUGCUCAACAGGACUGAACAAUGUUUUGCUGCCCACGUUGUUCACACUUGUCAACAAUAUCGAACAAUGUUGUUGAGCCUGAAUCGGGUGUAACAAUAUUGUUCAAUAUUGUUGACAGCUAUGAACAAUAGGGCCAUUUAUACAAGCGAAAAUAAGUCGCGGCCUAAAUAUGCCGCGGCUUAAAUAAGUCGCGAACGACCCGUAUAAACAGUCAAUUUGCAAUAAGCCGCGGCUAAAAUAAGCCCAGGUUUGAAAGCUAGGCCUAAAUUAGCCGCGGCUUAUUGCAAAUUGACUGUUUAUACGAGUCGUUCGCGACUUAUUUAAGCCGCGGCUUAUUUUCGUUCGUAUAAAUGGCCCUAAUGUGGGCAGCAAAACAUUGUUCAAUCCUGUUUUCAUCAGUAUUGCAUCAACCUGAGCGUUUUUACGCGUGUACACGCGUAAAAAUUGAGAAAAUCAACAACUUGUUGCAAGUUGAUAUCGACAUGCGUGAACAAGGUUGUGCGGCCCACUAUGAACAGUAUUGUCAACAUGUAACAUGUUGUUACAACAUUAUUCAACUGUAUAACAACUUGGAACAACAUGGUUGACAACUUGUUCAUAGUUGGCCGCACAACAUUGUUUGCACGCCUGUCGAUAUCAACUUGCAACAACCUGUGCAUUUUUAGCCCUGUAGAUUACUAAUCUUUACAAUAAUUGUGAUAUCACUUUCCUAACUAUGUUUAUCCUAACCCACCCUGACAAUUUUCCCUCUGGGAGGAAACCGAAGCAGCUGGAGUAAACCCACAACUUUCUCUGGCAGAGCGUUGACUGAAUCUUUUCAACUCUUUCACAUGAGUCCGUAGCGAGAAUCGAACCCCAUGAUCUCCGAGGUCAGAAAGGUGCUUGCUCUGAAGGCAAGGAAAUUUUUACACAAGGAAUUUUUGCUGCGAUUUGCCUUCAGUCCCUACGCUAACCCAUAAUAGCAAGGCAUGAAUCUAUCAUGCACGCCUUAGUCUUAGAUAAAGAGCCAUAGCCUGGCUACAACUCGCGCACAUUGUGCAGGUGAUGGCGGCCCGCAUUCAGCCGACACUUUUCGUUAUAUAUGUACUUAAGGCAUGAAAGAAUGUUGGGAAAUUAAACAUGUUGGGAAUGCUGUGUUUUAGAUAACAUAUGCCUCUGUAUCCGAAAUCUCGCGUUGCAAGUUACUGAACAUUUUCCUGGUGUAUAACCUUGACGUUACAUUUUCACAGAUCGUAUGUAUACAUUACUGACUAUACAUGAACAAUUUAAUUUGUCAACGAAACUUGUAUAAAUUAAGAAAACGUUGCUCAUUUUUGCGACGUUUAUGCAGUUAUUUGUUGUUUAAAGUUCACAUGAAACGAAAAUGUUAUUGUCUUAUUUAAUAUAAUUAUAAAACUAUAGAGUAACUUUUGCAGUUUUUCCUUCCUUAGCCUCGUUUUCAAGCUAUUUCAAUGAGUUCGGUAUACGUGUCAAGGAUUCUAUAUACGUCGCAAAUAUGCAUAAUGAGUUAUGAGAUUCAGUUGUACAUCCUUACUACUAUCAAACAAAAGCGCAUUAUAAAAGUAUGUUGUGCAUUUGUGUUGUACUCGGAUUCUUCUAUAGACAUGCAUAUAGUAAUUUCAUUUCAUAAUAACAAGAAUAUAUAAUAUUUUCAGUAAACUCAUUAUGCAUUUUGUGAUCGAAACCUUGACCGAUGUAUAUCGAACUAAACUGAAAUGUCUUGAAAACGAAGGAAUAAAACUAUAAAAACUGCAAAGGAAGUUACUCUGUACUUUUUGUAGUUCUUGUAAAUAACUCAAUAAAAAUUUCCGUUUCAUACGCACAGUAAUCAUCUUUGUCAACACAAAUUUCGGCAAGUUCAAUUGACACGACCCCGCGUAAUUAUAUUUCUUCAAUGAUUGACUGGUUAAGUAAGUGUUUGUUCUUUGUGAUGACCUGAUCUGUGUAUAGGGCCAAGGUCCAAGUGCUGUCCUUACCGCAUAAAACAAUAAUCCAUACAUUGUAUACAAACAAUUUUAGUUUCUAAUAAAGUGUUGGGCAUUAUUUACGAAUUUUACUGAUCGCCUCAUUUAAGCCGUUAUAGAAUAAUUGCACCUGUUAUUGCUAGGAUAACAAACGUUCCCAAGACAACCUCGUACCCAGUGCUUUUGCAUUUGUGGCUGUCUGAAGCUCUGGAUACGAGAUUGUUUUCUAAGAUAGUCACAGCCUCAUUCCGGGCCAUUUUUCGCGCGGUUCUAGUGAGUACAUUUUCUGAAUAAUUGUAUUGAAGUAUGGUUGAGAAAGCCGUCAAAUUAUACGCAAUAUUGAAAGUUCUUAUAUAUACCGUAUCAUAUGUGUGUCUGUCAAUACGACGACUUAAAAAACUGUCAAACCUUUUGAUACGAAACUUUGUGGUGAGACUAAUGGUCAUUGCCCAAGGAGAAAUUGAUUAAAUUUCGGUUACAUUUGGUCUUGACAAUUGGAUGAGAAAUUAGCGUAAUUCGCUCAUUGUGUAAUUUAUGCACGAUACAUUACUUCAUUCGACUUCUAGAUUACAUUAUUACAGGCUAACAACAUGGGGUAUAAGUUUAUCUUUAGUAUCCAGUGAACCACGGUUAGUGAACCCAGUCCAGGAGGACAGUGCAAUGGGCAGCAGGGAAAAUAUCAGGUGGCCCUCCUGCACAUCCUGCUGUUCGGGACAGAGGGUGAAGUGUGAAGCUGACCAGUAUGUAGGCUUCACUAUUUUGUAUCAUAGAAUUAGGUUAAUAUAUGUUGUAUAGUGUGCACGGCCCAUUGAAAAUCAGCGUAGCAUGCUGAAUGGCUACCGUGCUUAAAUAAUUUUAAAGAUUAAAGGGUCAAGACUUCGACAACCGCACCUCCCAAGCGCUAAAAAGUACGCAUGCUAAAUAGACCAAGAGCCUUAUGCCCGAUAGCGAGACGUGAACAGGCUCCGAUAUAGUUGUUUAUCAGUCGAGUUUCUCACUCAUUAUUGGUGAGCUGCAUGGGCCCGGUUGUACGAAGGCCGGAUAGCGCUAUCCACCGGAUAAUGAUUCUUUCAAGCUUUGUUAAAUCAGUCGUUGAUUGGUAUAACUCGUAUUAAAGUUAAGUUAAAUGUUUUUUAUACUUCUUGUGUCGUCUAUAUCCGUAGUUUCACAGUUUUUCAAGCAUUUUACAAAGGUUGAAAAAAUCACUAUCCGGUGGAUAGCGCUAUCCGACAUUCAUACAACCGGCCAACGGGCUAUUGGCCAAUUGAUAGGGGAUCCGAGGUACCUACGAUUUGAACGUCCUUAUUCCAGAAGACGCGAAAGUCUAACCAUUUACUGAUGUGAAGGUAGCGCUUUCUCCUCGAUUAUUUAAAGACCCUGAGUGGAGGUCCGACCAACCGGCUUUGUUUUGUUUAGACAUCGUCAAAAAUUCAGAUGUUUUGUAGAAAAUAAAUUUAAAAUUACAAAUGGUACAUGAAACUACGAAAGCUUAUAGAAGAUUAACAAUAUAGGUACUAAAUUUAUUGAAAAAUAUCGCGUAAAGUUUAUAGAAAUUAGUCAAAAUUUUAUAGCAACACAAUUCGGAAAGUGGACUGACCAAAAUUGCCGAAAUCCUGCUUCAGUCGAGGUUGUGAAGUUACCUUGGGGAACGUCUAUUGCAUCUGUUUUCAAUAUUUAUUUCCACAAACAAAAUGUUCUAUAACUAUAAGCUAUAGGAAAUAUUUAUUAUUUAAGCCUAAAUUCGGGUAUAGGCUAUUGCCAUCUGCAAAAAUUCAUUAAUAAUUAAUUUUUUGUGAUAAUUUUACUUUGUCCCACACUUUACUGUAUAGGUGGAAAGCGUGUAAAUAAAUGGACGUGCAUUAAACAUUUUAAGAUUCCAAGUUGAAAGAUCUUAUACUACUUAAAAACUUAACACAUUUAUUGUUCAUGAGCAUAUUAGCCUGUCAAAUCAAUCAUUUAUCCAAUGAUUCCGAUUGAACACGUUUAUGAAAUAUCUUGAUAAAAAGUCCAGAUAAAAUUUUGUAGUCUCACUGUAAGUUGUUAAGACAAGAAACAAUUAAUGCGCGCGUAACACUUUUGUUUUAAACCUGACCCGUGCUGGUUCAUUCAUUGAACAGCACUUACAUUUUCGGCAUGCGUGGCGUCGGUAAAACAAACGUAUCCUUUAUCGUGUCAAAGCUGUAAACACCUGCAGGUCUUUGCAAGCCAAGUAUGCUGCCCUAUAAAAGCCAAACAUUCAAUAUUUCAUUGUGCUCAAAAGUGAACAGUAAAACAUUCUGCUAAAUACAAAGUUGCUGUUGAAGAAGCGUUCGAAAAGCUGAACUCCUGCAAAAGUCAUGAAGAAUUUCUUGGUCAUCUUGCUUAUGUUAUCUACCAUGACCCUGUGCUUGGCGAAGCCGAAAUGGAUAUGGUUCGAUGAGGAAGAGAAGAAUGAUGGGGAUUUUAACGAUGAAGUCUUGACAAGAGAAAAAGGAAAGAAUGAUGAGAAUCUGAUGAAUAAACCCCCGAAGUGUCCUGAUAAUAAUGGUGCACCGUUUUGCCGUUACAAGGGAAAGAGACUAAUUUCUAGGAAUUAAUAUCAUACAGUAUAUGUAAACUAUUCAUGAUAUUGAUAAUAAACGUAUCAAUCGAUGAUUUUUCUCUAAAUAGGUUAUUUCUCAUCUUUCUUUGUUCAUUAGAAUUAACGAAUUAACGGUUACUUGCCCUAUUUCCGGGUUUGUGCGGUCCAUUCCUUUAUAUAAUUGCCUGGCCAUUGCGCGUGUAGUCCAAGCGCUUGCGCACAAGCGCUUUUGGCGAAACCCCAGCUUCGUUUAGUAAACCGAUUUGCUCGUCUGUAACUGGAACAAAACGGGGGAAAUUUGUUUUGGUCUACGGCACGCAGGCGAGUCUGGAGGUGAAUAGUGCAAGGGUAUCCGAAGCUGAGCGACCAAUCAAAUUGCACGGAAAACACUAUCCACCUCCUGAGUAACCUGCGAGCAGGCGUUUACUCCAACCCAAAUAAACACCUGCUCGCAUGGUACUUCACGAAUAAAAGUUUCGUAUAUCUGCUCACCUGCGAACGGGCAUGCUCUGGGACGAGAUUGAUAUCUGCUCAAAUAGUUUUCUUUAACAAGACAUUUUAUUUCGAAAGUGACAAUGAACAGUUUACACCGGGUUUCGACGUCAUUUCCCAAAUAAUUAUAUAACUGAAACAUUUACAUUAAAUUUACCAAAUUGGCAAAUGCAGCGUUACGUUAGAUAAAGUUUUCAAAAAUACUUGAAUGUGUGUUUGAACGACUUAUCAACCAAUUCAACAGAGGAAAAGUCACAUAUAAGAACAGCUUUUACUUUUUUUCCAUUUUCGGUUUUUCCGGCCAAAUAACAGGUAUGAUAAGCGUGUCUUCUCGUUGUCACAUGGGCUGUUCCUUCACUUCUUUGGUGUAAGACGUAGUUACCGACGUUCUUUGACUUCGCAAGCUGACCGAUGUGUGUUGCGUUAAUCUCCGUGGACGGCUGUUUCUUUCUUUACCAACGAAAGCGAGCAAAGUUCGCCUGUAAUCGGGUAGACGUAGGGCAUAUAGAAUUGGGUUAGCCCCAAAAUUCAACAUGGCAAUUGGUACGUAACAAUAGGAGAGGUUAAACAAUGUGUACGCGAUUUCAUCUUCACCAAGGUAGCCCAAUCUCGUUAGAAAAUCCAGUUGUUUCAAUAAGAAAAAAGGAAAGGCGGUGAGGAAGAGAAUCAGCGUAAGAAUCAUCACAGUCUUUGCGAUAUCCUUGUGCUUGGCAUUUUGAGGAUUUCCAGUGCUUCGUCCACUUCGAAUUAUCUCGAACGCAACUUGGAUAUUCAAAACUAUUUGAACGACAAGUGCGAUUUGCAGUACCCCUAUACGAGCUGUCAAAAUUUUUAAGCUAGUACGCCAUUCUGCAGGGUAAAUAAGCCAUACGAUGCAGCUGAAGCCCAACAGACAUGCGAAGAGCCAGAGCGAUAUACAAACUAAUGCAAUCCUUGGCGUUGUGAGGCAGUAGCGACUUUUUAGCGGAUAUUUUGUGAGUAGGAAAAUUUGCACAGCGAAGAAUGUUAACAAUAGGAACGAAGCAGAAACACUAAAUCCCCAGCCAAAAUUAACAAUCCCGAAGUACAGAUUGCUUGGAGUUUUGUAGAAAUAUGUAUCUCCCCACAAACAGAAAGCUGAUAUGCAUGAAAUUAGGUCAGCGGUCGCCAAGUUGAGUAUGGUUACCCAUGGUCCUCUUCGAAGUAUUUUCAAAGGGUCGAUAACAAUGGCAAUGAUUACAGCCAAGUUGAGUAGCAUGCCCACUGCUGCCACAGACAUAGUGGCGAUUCCGAUUUUCGUCAUGUCUUCCCCAGUAAGUUGAUACCUUUGCUGUAUAAGAGAAUAUAAUUUAAAAAAAAUUGUUUCUGGUGUUAUGCACCUAGGUGAAGAUAUAUGUUUGGUGGUGGGAAUAGAACCCGCGACUUUUGGUUUGCUAGUCUGUUGCUCUACUAACUGAGCUAGAGCAUUGGUUUGAGCCACCGACUUGACCUCGUGGCUCAGUUGGGAGAGCAUUAGAUUAGCAAACCAAAAGUCGCGGGUUCAAUUCCCACCGCGGUCAAGGAAAUUUUUUCAGCCUGCCCGGUGUGGACACACUCAGAGACAACAUCAAAGUAAUAAACACCUUAGUUAAUAACAUAGCUGGUUUGGAAACUCACUAGAAUAACAAUAUAACUCAUUAUCUAUGUUAAUCAACGUUUAUUCAUAAAUCUGGUCGUUCACCGUCACGUGCGUAUUGUAUUUUUGCCCAGCUAACCAAUAGCAAUGUCUUAAGAAAGUCACCUAUCCGUGACUCGGACAAUAGGGUAAGUUGGAAAUUGCUAUUGGUGGAUUUGGCAAAAAUACAAUACACACGUGACGAUGAAGGACCAUAUUUAUGAAUAAACGUUGACCAACAGUCCAACAUAGAUAAUGAGUUAUGUUGUUAUUCUAAUGAGUUUCCAAACCAUCUAUUCUAUUAACUAUGUAAACACAAAGUAAUGAUUAUUAAUAAUGCUUGUGAAACUCAUUAAUAAUUCAUGAAGAAAACACAAAACAAAUCAUGAGCGUGAAGGAGUUUAUAUCUGAUACAAAAUCAUCUCAACAAAAAUCAUUUAUUUACUUUAAACUGUUAAACUAAACUACCGCGCAUGCACACACAGCAGUUGCGCUCUAAGCAUGAGGGUCAGCUCAUCACUAUAGAGUGUGCCAAAUACUUUUUUAUGGCAAUCUUCUCUCCCAACAAGGGUUGAUGAUAGAAAGUACUCUUUGUUGCACUCGUUCAAUAACAUCACUAAGGUAUUAAUUAGGUAGUGCAUAAUGAAGGACCUGAGUAUUAUAUUCAAGGAUGGUCUUACACAGGUACAAUAAAAGAGCAGUAACGCUGACGGUGGGGUUUUUGUUCGUUUGAGUUGGAUGAUAAAAUAAAUCCGCUUGUUUGCCUUCUUAACGAUAUUGUUGACAUGCUGGUUCCAUUUUAGAUCGUUACUAGUCGUUAGGCCCAAGAUUUUGACAUGAUUAACAAUGUCUAAAUUACUGCCGUUGAUACGGAUAUUUGAAAAAUCUAAUUCUUCCUCUCCAAAGUGUAUGAAAAAUCUAUUCGUCCCUUCUAAACUCUUUACAUUUGGUGCGUUACUGGUUAUGUUGGAGGAAAACAUGGUCCAAAUACAAUAGCUGUUAAUGAGAUUCUUUUGUUAGCUCUCCUCCAAUAUGGCCGCCAUGACAUCAAUUGCAAACCAAGAAUUGAGUUGCAAACGUUACAUUUGGCGCUAUUGAGUUGUAGCCGAUACAACACGGUCGCUCAUGUUGUAAAUAGUUUGAUAGUUUCAAGGAAUUUUUUUCUUUCACUAAAUGCUUCAUAGUUUUUUCUUAAAUUGCACUCUUUGCAUGAUUACCCCCCUCGUUCCCAGGAUAUGUAAUGGACCACCCCUUAGAUUUGACUUCUACCGCUAACUAGAAAAGUGAUGGGGGUUGCGGGGGAUUCGCGCAAAGGAACACAAAAGAAAAAAUUCGUGCAAAUAGGAAAGCAAAGAAAAACCCUUAAAAUUCGGGAGAAAACAUUCGAGGGGGGGGGGGGGAAUUGUGCAAGCUGAAUUCUCCCUCCCCCUUUUAACCUAAAGGUAACGGUGAGGGUAGUGGAAGUCAAAUGUAGACUUCACUAAUGUCAGUAAGAGGAAUAUGUAGACAGGUCCGAGGACACUCUACAUGCGAAAACAGUCUUUUAAAAAAGGUGGCUCCCUACACUUUUUAAAUUAAAGAUUUUCUGAUUUGGAUAUGAUUUUCUGGACAAUUAUUACUUGUUUAAAAUCGAAGAGUAUCUGACUGGCAUAACAUAAUAACUAAAGAGUUCAGAAUUUUUCAAAAACUACUCCUAACAGCCGUUGCUAUGGCAACAAUGACGUCACAACAAGGCGGAUAUUUUAUGUUUAAAGUAAUUUAACUCGAAAAAAACUUCGGUGACCCCCAUUUUUUAUUUUAUAAAAUGAUUUCUAUUGGUAUUUUGAAUUAUUUUCAUGAAUUAAAAAUGCCAAAAUUUUUUAAGAUAGGAAAAUGUGAAAACUCGUAAUGAUUUUUUUUUAAAUCAUGAAAAUAAUUCAAAAUAAUAAAAGAAAUCAUUUUAUGAAAUAAAAAUGGGGGUCACAUAUGUCCUUCUUGUAGGUCUAUUGGCAGCUCUUCCUGUUGUUAAUCAAUAAACGGCGAAGGUGUAUUACUGGGGAGAAUGCUACACUGCACCAUCCCAGUCUCUUCCUCAGAGUGACUGUACAAUGUUCAUCCUUAUCUUAAAAUUAGAAUUAGGGUUAGUACUAUAGCGCAUGGGUAAGGAUUAUGAUUAUUUUCCUAAAUGAUUUCUAUUAAUAAUUUGUUUCUACGUUGGUAUGUGCAGUCAACCUGAGCAAGAGACUGGGCUGUCUGUUCAGUGGUAUUAGAGAACUUUUAUUGAAGUUUUAUGUGGUUUUCGUAGUGUAAAUUCCUAGUUAUAAUUUAUGUGUGGGGUUGCCUUGUUGGGACUUCGAGUCCGUCCGCCGAUCCCAUAUCUAACUCGCCUUUGUUUGUUGUAUUAAUAUCUUUUGUUUCGUUCUCACAUAGUAGUGUAAAUUUCGCGAGUUUGAUUAAAGCUUCUUAUUAAAAUAUCCGGCAGCAACGGCAGUACUCCUUAGUUUUUAUGUUAUAUACAAGUCAGAUACUCUUGGUUUUAAAAACAAAUAAUACUCCAGAAAUUCAUAUCCAAAUCAGAAAAUCUUUAAUUUCUAAAAAAGUGUAGCGAGUCACCAAGUCUGCCUCCUCCGCAGGCUCUUGGCACAUAUCAGUCGUAAAUAUAGAUCAGUGGAGGCAGAUCUUGAAUCGUAUACGUGAUGAUGUAAGAUGACACGGAAAACCGCAGAUAACUCAAUUAGUCCGCACAUAUCUGUUCAUGUUUGAAUAACAUUUUCUGCCGUCCAAACUAGCCCUUAGAACAUGAUACUUUUGUCUCAGGUUGAAUCUAAAAUCUUCGUUGGUAAUAGGGUUGGUUAGUGAGUGACUUUACAAUAUGAAAGAUAGGUUUACUGUGUAGAGCAGGAUAACUUAUCACUGUAUCCAGUCCGAGACCAGCGUGAUUGUGCUAAUAAAUCGCUCAUGCAUAACAAUCCUCCGUAUUUAAAAGUCUCCACUUUCAAAGCCAUUUUCGAGAAGCCCAUGUUUACGGACGAAGGAAUGUAUGAAUGGUCUAUUUUCCAUCAUGUUAGUGUAUACGAUCGGAGAAAAGUACAAAUGUAUGCGUUUUCAAACGAAAUCGAUUAGUGACGACGGCUCCUGAACAAAAUAUGAACUAUAUAUACUACCUUCGAAGACGAUGUUGUUCCGUUGCUCGACGCAUUAGAAGAUACGGUUAUCAUGGUAGGCAUACUGGGUGAAGAUGCACCUUGACCUGCUAACGGCAUGCACAGUAAAAAUGCUGUCAACAAUUGAUAUAUCUCGUGUCUACGGCAAAAAACCAUCAUUGCAAAAUACUUUACUUCAGAUCUGAGAGACUGAGCAUAAACAAUGUUCACACUUCUAAGUUCCUUUUAGCAGUGUGCGGUUGAAUUACAAAAAUGCCAAGUUUAUGUGCACACUGACUGUGACGUGAUUUUGAAAUGAACCAAUAGAAGAGUAUGAGAUAAUUUAGUACAUGUCACAUGAAAGUGUUGAUCGCAUUAAAUUUUCUCAAAAAAUCGUUUCACAGAUAAUCCAUUUAUUAGGCCUACACAUGUGUUUUGCAUGGAUGGUACACAUGGCGUGUUGUCGUGAUUAUGGAAAACAUUAAACAGAUCAGCUUUAUCUUCAAGUACACGUUAAAUUAAAUCAAUCUUGUCCUUGAGCUUGUAUUAUUCUGUUUAUGAGAGAUAGAAGUUAGAAUAAAAUAGCCAUCCUGAACUAUUUAUAUGUAAUAUACCAGUAUUGACAACAAACUAAAGCAGUAAUAUGUGUAGAGAUACUAAAUACGACAGAAUUUCGGACCUAAACUCGUUGUUUCUUCCUGAGCUUAUUUGCAUGAGAAGUUCAACAGUUAUAGGCGCAACUCAUGCUACGACGUUUACACUGUAACAGAUAGCUUUCCGUAGCGACGUGAAAAACAUCUAUUCGUACCUUUUAGGAACGCUAUUUUCAGAGGAAUUAUUGUAACGGAGAGAUGUUGUUUCGUUCAGCUUCUGAAAGUAGUAGAUGAGUGAAUGCAUUCUAUAUUUUUUAUUUAAACCCGUCAUCUGUAUGCAAUUCGACUAAACGGCUUCUGAAAAAACGCCGAAACUUUAAGGCGCGUAAAGCUGUAUUUUAUCUAUUGCUCAUGCAUACUCCAUUAAGUCCAUUUUAUUAACCGCUUCUUCGCUUUUGUCGCUAUUUUUUAAAAUUAGCAAUUCAGGGUGAAAGAUCAUUAUUUUGCAAUUUGUACAUUAUAAGUUGGACGUUUGUACCGGGUUUAGUAAGUGCAGGCAUAUGUCAUCAGGUGAAGUUGUUAUUUGAGGCAUGUAGUAAAACACUGACUACCGGAACACCGCCGGAACACCACCGGAACACCACCUAACCCUAACCCCAACCCUAACCCCCAAUCCUAACCCUAACCCCAACCCUAACCCCCAAUCCUAACCCUAACCCCAAACCCUAACCCCAAACAAAAUGGUGGUGUUCCGGUGUUCCGGUGGUGUUCCGGUGUUCCGGUAGUCAGUGUUUUACUACAUGCCGUUAUUUGAUAAUAAAACGUGCUGUGGACAAUGGUUGACCAUGAGGCAUGAGUCCGCAUGACUAUAUUUGAGGGAAUUUAUGCUUAUUUUCUCAUGGAACGUCAAACGUUUUGUAAAGACUUCUACAAACCAAUCUAUGGUUUGAUAUGCUGCAAUUUUCCUCUCCUGACGUAUGUGAACGAGUAGAUGAGUUAUGAAUAUUUAGAUGAUUGUACAUAUAGUGAUAUACUCAGAACAUUCAUAACUUAUUCACUCGUUCACAUCCAUCAGAAAAAAAGAAAAUCGCGCUAGAAAUUGCAGCAAGCAUCUGAUAAAACACGCACUGCGAAUGUUUUAAAUUGCUUCAAAAACGAUCGAUCUAGUAGUAAGUUCACUGGCGAAGUAAUUAAGUCGAAAAGUUAUAUAAAUCAAAGGAAAUCUCUUUCACAUAUAAAGAAUACGACACACUUAUGAUUUUUCUUUGUGUUUUCCUCAUGAAUUAUUAAUGAGUUUUUGAAGGCCGUUUAACGGUACCGUAUCGUUUUCUUUUGUUUGAAAGUAAUUAGUUCCAUCAGCAUUUGGCAGUUAGGGUUAGGGUUGACAUAAUUAUGGACGCAAGUCAACUCUGACCCUAUAAAUUAUAACACAAAUUUGGCAGCAAGACUGGACUGAGUGUUAUUGUUCUUAAUUAACAUCUGGAGAAUAGUUCAGAAAUGUCUUAAUUCAUAUCAUCGCCACUCCUUUUGCACAAACUUGAAAAAGUUCGUGAACAAAAGUUUCACGCCAACUAAAUGAUUCGCACGAAUCACGAUUUUUCAUUAGCGCAUUACGCUUUCCAGUUCACCGAUAUAACACAAAUUGAUCUGGAUCUAAAUUAAAAUCCUGCAGAUUAACUUUUUCUUGUGAUUGAAAACAGAAAUCUGGCGACGUGCACCAAAACAAUUACUGCUACGUGUCGCGCAUAAUUCGUCUGUGAAUUAAGAUCUUAAGAUGAUAUUCAAAAUGUACAUCAACACCGUGAUUAAGUUCAAUCAUAUUCCAGUCUCUUCUGUUCAUGUUUAUUCAAAUUUGCGCACGGUACGAGGAAUUUUUCGCCCCGUAGUCUUGAAAUAUUAAUAAGCAAUUCUAUAAUUAUCUUCUUGACUGGAUAAAUAUUUGUGUUUUGACAUGCUGAUGUUAUUCCAACUUAUUUGUAUGCAGCGAUGGUAAUCUGGGCUUAUGAGUUAUGUUCAAAAUCUCAGUUGAAUAGACACCCAUGCCCUCCUCCGCAAGCAACUCUAUAGUUACAGCCAUAGAUAUCUUAUAUACACUAGAUAGCGCAUCUCUUUUAGUAAAAUUGAAGCCAAGAAUAUUCCAGCGGUUACCCCCAUUUGAAUUGUUACCCAAUUUUUGAAUUGCAAAAUAAUUAGAUGCACUAUCUAGUGUAUAUAAGAUAUCUAUGGUUAUACAGCUGUUAAUAAUUAUAUUGUACUCAAAAAAUUUUUCCAAACAAAUUUUGCCUCACGUUCGUUCAAACAUAUUUGACAACUUUAGAUAUAACUCACAAGCGUCGUGACAAUUGUUCUAGUUUACCACGAGUUUACAGAGUCAUAGAAUAGAAUCCUCGUUGACAUCAGUAAUCAUCACUGAAGAGGUCACCCUACGGAAAUAAAUGUGCGGUUUGAUUUGAACAAAGGGAGUUUAGGUUUUUGUCGAGGGUCGAGUGUCGAGGGUCCAAUGUCGAGGGUGAGGGUAAAAAGUCGAGGGUGAGGGUAAAAAGUCGAGGGUGAGGGUAAAAAGUGGAGGGUCAUAUACAAAAGUCGAGGGUUGUAUUUACGACAACUAAGACAAUUACUAACGAUAAAAGAGUUUUUAAAACGGUUUUUCUCCUUAUGUAAAUCAUGAAUUGAGGGACAAUUCUGGUCUAGAAACUAACUCAUUAAGUUUAUGGUUUGGGUCGUCUGGUUAAAAAGUUUCACGCACGCAGCAUGUCUUCUAGCGAGUAAUGUCUCCAGGCCACUUUUGAUUAACUUAAGGCAUUCUUAGUAAAAAGGCGGAAUUUUUUCAUUAAAAGCAAAGUUAAAGAGUAUUUAUUAUCAAUAGUACACUUAAAAGAAUUUCUAAACGUAGUAUAAUUUCAUAAACAGGCCAAUGGCAAUGUUCAACCUCGCAUCAAGCAAAGGUCUCCGUCCCGCCGCAGGUAUGGAGACCCUUGCUUGCGAGGUUGGUCAAUGACAAUGUUUGGUUAAUCACUUAGCGUUCAUUGGUUUCUUGAAACAGUGGCAUGUCUGCACCGCGCUAACCGCGCUCCGAUCUAGCAGAAAACACACAAGUUUUUUAAUCAUAACUUGCUAUUGGUAAUAUAUUUUGCCUUAAUAUAUUGUCAUUACUGGCUUGAGGAUUACAGUUACCCGAUAAUCUGUGCUGUUACGUUAAUUUGAUAAGAAAGCAAAGAGACCGUUCUCAUAUUAGACAUAAACAUGUUAACUAGCGAGCGUGAAGGGGCUUAGAAAAUAAUCGCUUAGCUAGAAAAUUUACGCAAGGUAGUAUCUUUUAAAAGUUAAUGUAGUUCUGCAUACAUAUAUAUGAUAAGUCCAUGUCACAACAUUAAACAAGUUAUUUUGCCCGCAAAUUUCGACCCUCGACUUUUUUUAUGACCCUCGAAUUUUUACCCUCGCCCUCGACUUUUUACCCUCACCCUCGAUUUUUUACCCUCAUCCUCGACAUUGGACCCUCGACCCUCGACAAAAACCUAAACUCCAACAAAGGUAACCAAGCAUAUUAGAAUUAUAGACAUGAGUGAAUACCCAUUGUACAUUUUUCUAAUGCUUAGUUACCUUUGUUCUUUGACUAUGCUCCUGUGAACUACAGUGGAGCUAAACUUGAGCAACCGUAGCCAGGCAUAUAUGAGUUAUCUAUAGACCGUCUGCAUGGGAUCAAGUCAUAGCGCCGAUAAUAGUGACUUUUUCGAGUAUUCUAAAAUUGGCCGUUGAUUGGUAUAACCCAGCUUAAUGAUGAGCUAAUGGCCGUUUUCCAUUUCAACCGUAUCGAAGCGUAGCCGAUAUUUCUUUGUUUCCUCAAAAGAAAAUUCUACUAUACGUUAUGUUACGGUUGAAAUGCAUGGGAAAACGGCCCAGAAACGUAGCAAAUACAGUAUGAUGAAUAUUUAAUAUCAAAUGGCGCGACGGGAUUACUUAUGAAUAUUAUGAAUAUUGUAGGAAGUAAUAGGAUGAUAUGGAGGAUAAGAUGCGCUUACGAUUACGCGGACGUGACAAAAAAAAUAAACCGUUAUUUUUGUUUUGCCGGUUUACUGAUUUGUUUUUCAUCUGCAUCAGUCCUCGUCGAAAAUUAAUAUUCAUACUCGUGUUGUCCUCACGCCCGCGCGCUAGAUUUAUCUCAUAUUAUUUACGUUGCUCAGGUUUAUUCUCGUAUCGUUCUUCGUACGUUUCUGAUAAAAAAAUCUUUAAUUAUUGAUAUUAAUUAAAAGUUUUCUGAGAACACAAUUUAUCGUUGAAAAACUUGAUUUGUACAAAGAGAAUACAAAUUGCUAUAUGGAAACGUGCCAAAGCAAAGCGCGUCUUUGCGGUCUUGUACGUGAGGGAGAUUACAAGGUCAAAUCGAACAUAGUCAUAGAACAAAACAUUUGACAAGUGCCGUCGAAGUCAGACUUGUUAUGUUGACCUGUUCAGUAGUUUUAUUAUGUAGACCCUUAUAACCUUAGGUAUAUAUUGUUCGUCGCUAUAGCUACACUUGGAACCACACUUUCAAAGUCUUCCCUGUUCCAUAUUCUAUGUUAAAAAUUCUUGCCAAAGUUUUAAGGUACUUUUCACGCACUCAAUGUGAUGAAUGAGUCCGGGUAAUAAAACAGCAAUAUUACGAUCAUUUGAUGUACCAGGCCUAGAAAAUAUAUUUUUCUUCUAGCUGGCAGCAAAAUUCAGAAAUAGAAAUUUCCGGUGUGUAUGUAUAAGUCCUCAUGAUAGCCAAAUGUAUAAGUCCACAUUGUGAUUCUAUAGUAGUAUAGAUUCCAGAGAGAGUAUGGUGGCGCACAUUGUGAUGCUACAGUAGUAUAGAUUUCAGAGAGAGUAUGGUGGCGCACAUUGUGAUGCUACAGUAGUAUAGAUUUCAGAGAGAGUAUGGUGGCGCACAUUGUGAUGCUAUAGUAGUAUAGAUUUCAGAGAGUAUGGUGGCGCACAUUGUGAUGCUACAGUAGUAUAGAUUUCAGAGAGAGUAUGGUGGCGCACAUUGUGAUGCUACAGUAGUAUAGAUUUCAGAGAGAGUAUGGUGGCGCACAUUGUGAUGCUAUUGUAGUAUAGAUUUCAGAGAGAGUAUGGUGGCGCACAUUGUGAUGCUACAGUAGUAUAGAUUUCAGAGAGAGUAUGGUGGCGCACAUUGUGAUGCUACAGUAGUAUAGAUUUCAGAGAGAGUAUGGUGGCGCACAUUGUGAUGCUAUUGUAGUAUAGAUUUCAGAGAGAGUAUGGUGGCGCACAUUGUGAUGCUAUGGUAGUAUAGAUUCCAAAGAGAGUAUGGUGGCGCACAUUGUGAUGCUAUAGUAGUAUAGAUUUCAAAGAGAGUAUGGUGGCGCACAUUGUGAUGCUACAGUAGUAUAGAUUUCAAAGAGAGUAUGGUGGCGCACAUUGUGAUGCUAUAGUAGUAUAGAUUUCAAAGAGAGUAUGGUGGCGCACAUUGUGAUGCUAUAGUAGUAUAGAUUUCAAAGAGAGUAUGGUGGCGCACAUUGUGAUGCUACAGUAGUAUAGAUUUCAAAGAGAGUAUGGUGGCGCACAUUGUGAUGCUACAGUAGUAUAGAUUUCAAAGAGAGUAUGGUGGCGCACAUUGUGAUGCUAUUGUAGUAUAGAUUUCAGAGAGAGUAUGGUGGCGCACAUUGUGAUGCUAUGGUAGUAUAGAUUCCAAAGAGAGUAUGGUGGCGCACAUUGUGAUGCUAUAGUAGUAUAGAUUUCAAAGAGAGUAUGGUGGUGCACAUUGUGAUGCUAUAGUAGUAUAGAUUUCAAAGAGAGUAUGGUGGCGCACAUUGUGAUGCUAUAGUAGUAUAGAUUUCAAAGAGAGUAUGGUGGUGCACAUUGUGAUGCUAUAGUAGUAUAGAUUUCAGAGAGAGUAUGGUGGCGCACAUUGUGAUGCCAUAGUAGUAUAAAUUUCAGAGAGAGUAUGGUGGCACACAUUGUGAUAAACUUCCAUCUUGGUACAAGACAAUCUCGACUUGCAAAAUGCUUUUGUAAACACAAUAAGUAAAUUAUAUGGCAUUCCAGUAUAUGAGAUGACAAACAUUUCCUGCUAUAGGCCAAGGUGUAAGAAAAUUUCCUGGGAAGAUAUUUUGUUAGAAAUUUCCUGGCAGCGGUGCUGCUGUCGCUUCCGGACAUUUUCCUGCUCAGCGAUAUGCUUAUACGUCUUAUAUAUGCUAGCAAACCAAAGGUCAUGGGUUCGAUUCCCACCGCGUUCAAGAAAACUUUUCGCUUGCCCGGUGUGAACACACUCAGAGAAACAUCGCAAUCAAAUAUAUAACUAUUUGUCAUUUACCCAAGCUGUGCCCUUUUUAUUCAACCUCUUUGAGGAUGCUGCAUAUGCCGGCUUUCUCAUCCUCUCGACAUUCCCUUCUUAUGAAAUUCGGCCGUGAGACUUUGCCCCAGCAGUUGUGUUAAAAAUCCCCAGAUGAGUCUAAUCUCUUGCACAUGAACAUAGCAAACACCUGUUCAAAUAUAGAGUAAAUCUGACAACUGAAGAGAUUACAUACAGUAUAAUCCGCGGAUUAUAGUACACUUAAUAUUUAUUUAUUACACUUAAUAUUUACGUUCACCAUAGAUACAGCCACAAUACAGGCUGUUCCAGAAAAUAGCUUUGUUCCAGAUUUUUACACAGCUGUUAGAGAGCUGUGAGCAUCGUAAAUUGAAUCUAAGAGACAAAUUUUGAGACAAAUAUUCUAAAAGCUCACUCACACUCAGAGAAGAGUGGAGGUUCAAUCUGAGCUUCCCUUGAGUGUCAGUGCUGUUUUUGAAUAGCUGAAGGGUUAGUGUCGUACCUUACUAUGACCUAUGUGACUACUCGCCCUCCAGCUAUUCAAAUACAGCACUGACACUCAAGAGAAGCUCAGAUUGAACCUCCACUCUUUGAGUGUGAGUAAGCUUUCAGAAUACAGGCGUAAGAUUACUAAACUUGAUCUACCGGGUGCCCCCCCCCCAAAAAAAAAAAACAACUGGACACUGUUUGAUUUCAUGUAACGUAAAAGCUAUAAAAUCUUUCGUAAUGACAUAAAGAUCAUUGCAUUAAAAAAGGACUAAGUGCCCCCCCCCAAAAAAAAAACUGGACACUGUUUGAUUUCAUGUAACGUAAAAGCUAUAAAAUCUUUCGUAAUGACAUAAAGAUCAUUGCAUUAAAAAAGGACUAAGUGCCCCCCCCCCCCAAAAAAAAAACUGGACACUGUUUGCUUUCAUGUAACGCAAAAGCUAUAAAAGCUUUCGUAAUGACAUAAAGAUCAUUGCAUUCAAAAAGGACUAACUUAUAUUUUGAUAUAUAACACUUGAAUUUACAUGCAAUAUUGAGCGAGAUACGACCAAAAUAAAGACAUUUAUCAUUUAACAAGUAUAACUACAUCGGUAAGAGUUGUUCAACGUUCAAACAUCAAUAGCGCAGUUCUUCUAAACAUCAAUAGCGCAGUUCCGGUAGUAGAAGCGAUGUUACGGGCGGCUAUUUGUGCCUCUUGAUACUUUACACAACUAAUACAUGAUUUGGGUGAAUAUAAUUAGACUUUAUUUUAAAGCCAUAACAGUCGUUCUACUAUAGACCAAUUUACUCUUAGUGUCAAAAUUCAUCUCUUAGAUUUUGAUACCUGUCACGUUUUAGGGGGAUCCAUGGGCGUACCAAUCUCGUCGUGGCAAAGUGGGAUCAUAUAAACAGCCUCUUAUUCAGCCUUUGAUCCCUUGGGAGUGAGGCAGCACUUUCCUUGCGAUAGUAACUUCUUCUAGACUUUUGUAAUUUUGUAUUCCUUUGUAUUUUAAACAUAAACCUUACUCUAAUCCUAACCCUAUCUUAAUCCUUUCCCUAAUCUAAAUCCUAAUCCUAAAAGUCUAAAAAUAGUAACUCCCUCUAAAACGUGACUGGCAUAUGCUUAGAUUAAAUUUCCGAUGCCCACUAAUACAUAGCUGUGUAAAAAUCUCGAACAUAUACCUAUUGCAUUUUUUUUCGGGACAUCUUCGUGGGAAUUAGCGGUUAAAGAAUUGGAUUAUAAGGAAAGAUCCAUGCGAACCACAUUCCAGCGGCUUGCGCCCAUCACACCUUUACAAAUAGUGGUGAAAAAAUAAUAAUCUUUUGUGAAAAAAUAAUAACGUUUUGCUUUAGACCGUAACACUUUGCGCGCCAAUCAGCAAAUAACCAUAUGUUGCGCGAGCAGCGCAUGCAAGGCAGACCUCAACAGCGGCACCCAACAUUCGGAUCAUGCAUGGUUUACUAGCUAUUGACUAAAAAGGUACAGUUCAGCCUUUUGAUUGAUGGUUUUUAAGGUAUAUUUCAGCCCUUUUUAUUGAAGAAACUAACUAGGAAAAUCAAUUAUGCAUAAUUCAAAAUCAGUAAACUCAUUGUUUUUAACAAUAAAAAUGUUUUAAAAUGUUAAAAACAUUAAGUUUGCCGAUCUUGAAUUAUGCAUAAUUGUUAGUUUCUUCAAUAAAAAGGGCUGAAAUGCGCCUUAAAAAUCAUCAUUCAAUGAACUGUGCCUUUAAUAUAUAACCUCAUUAGUUAUUUUCCUUCAAAUGGCGUUCAUAUCACAGACCCAGCUCGAUUUGUAGGGUGGUAAAAGCACAGCGUCUGCUCAGCUUUAGUAGCCCAUUAAAGCAGGCGGUCUACACCUGAACAGCGGGCGAGACGAAGAACGCUUCGCCCGACUUUUAGGUGCGCCUCGCGGGUCUGCCUGCAUGCAGGCUAGAGUUGGGUAGUUACAAUCUGAAUUUCAAUAUCUAUUUCAGCAUUGUUGUGGAAGUGCGAUAGAAGACUUCUUGAACAAUUGUGAAAUUCAUACAUGGAGGUACGAUUUUACUCUUUAUUCUAUAUAUA